Molecule: ribosomal RNA, 2201 nt
Filed under: Escherichia coli
Lineage: Bacteria; Pseudomonadati; Pseudomonadota; Gammaproteobacteria; Enterobacterales; Enterobacteriaceae
Description: partial 23S ribosomal RNA
Rfam family: Bacterial large subunit ribosomal RNA
Source: RNAcentral
GUUAAGCGACUAAGCGUACACGGUGGAUGCCCUGGCAGUCAGAGGCGAUGAAGGACGUGCUAAUCUGCGAUAAGCGUCGGUAAGGUGAUAUGAACCGUUAUAACCGGCGAUUUCCGAAUGGGGAAACCCAGUGUGUUUCGACACACUAUCAUUAACUGAAUCCAUAGGUUAAUGAGGCGAACCGGGGGAACUGAAACAUCUAAGUACCCCGAGGAAAAGAAAUCAACCGAGAUUCCCCCAGUAGCGGCGAGCGAACGGGGAGCAGCCCAGAGCCUGAAUCAGUGUGUGUGUUAGUGGAAGCGUCUGGAAAGGCGCGCGAUACAGGGUGACAGCCCCGUACACAAAAAUGCACAUGCUGUGAGCUCGAUGAGUAGGGCGGGACACGUGGUAUCCUGUCUGAAUAUGGGGGGACCAUCCUCCAAGGCUAAAUACUCCUGACUGACCGAUAGUGAACCAGUACCGUGAGGGAAAGGCGAAAAGAACCCCGGCGAGGGGAGUGAAAAAGAACCUGAAACCGUGUACGUACAAGCAGUGGGAGCACGCUUAGGCGUGUGACUGCGUACCUUUUGUAUAAUGGGUCAGCGACUUAUAUUCUGUAGCAAGGUUAACCGAAUAGGGGAGCCGAAGGGAAACCGAGUCUUAACUGGGCGUUAAGUUGCAGGGUAUAGACCCGAAACCCGGUGAUCUAGCCAUGGGCAGGUUGAAGGUUGGGUAACACUAACUGGAGGACCGAACCGACUAAUGUUGAAAAAUUAGCGGAUGACUUGUGGCUGGGGGUGAAAGGCCAAUCAAACCGGGAGAUAGCUGGUUCUCCCCGAAAGCUAUUUAGGUAGCGCCUCGUGAAUUCAUCUCCGGGGGUAGAGCACUGUUUCGGCAAGGGGGUCAUCCCGACUUACCAACCCGAUGCAAACUGCGAAUACCGGAGAAUGUUAUCACGGGAGACACACGGCGGGUGCUAACGUCCGUCGUGAAGAGGGAAACAACCCAGACCGCCAGCUAAGGUCCCAAAGUCAUGGUUAAGUGGGAAACGAUGUGGGAAGGCCCAGACAGCCAGGAUGUUGGCUUAGAAGCAGCCAUCAUUUAAAGAAAGCGUAAUAGCUCACUGGUCGAGUCGGCCUGCGCGGAAGAUGUAACGGGGCUAAACCAUGCACCGAAGCUGCGGCAGCGACGCUUAUGCGUUGUUGGGUAGGGGAGCGUUCUGUAAGCCUGUGAAGGUGUGCUGUGAGGCAUGCUGGAGGUAUCAGAAGUGCGAAUGCUGACAUAAGUAACGAUAAAGCGGGUGAAAAGCCCGCUCGCCGGAAGACCAAGGGUUCCUGUCCAACGUUAAUCGGGGCAGGGUGAGUCGACCCCUAAGGCGAGGCCGAAAGGCGUAGUCGAUGGGAAACAGGUUAAUAUUCCUGUACUUGGUGUUACUGCGAAGGGGGGACGGAGAAGGCUAUGUUGGCCGGGCGACGGUUGUCCCGGUUUAAGCGUGUAGGCUGGUUUUCCAGGCAAAUCCGGAAAAUCAAGGCUGAGGCGUGAUGACGAGGCACUACGGUGCUGAAGCAACAAAUGCCCUGCUUCCAGGAAAAGCCUCUAAGCAUCAGGUAACAUCAAAUCGUACCCCAAACCGACACAGGUGGUCAGGUAGAGAAUACCAAGGCGCUUGAGAGAACUCGGGUGAAGGAACUAGGCAAAAUGGUGCCGUAACUUCGGGAGAAGGCACGCUGAUAUGUAGGUGAAGUCCCUCGCGGAUGGAGCUGAAAUCAGUCGAAGAUACCAGCUGGCUGCAACUGUUUAUUAAAAACACAGCACUGUGCAAACACGAAAGUGGACGUAUACGGUGUGACGCCUGCCCGGUGCCGGAAGGUUAAUUGAUGGGGUUAGCGGUAACGCGAAGCUCUUGAUCGAAGCCCCGGUAAACGGCGGCCGUAACUAUAACGGUCCUAAGGUAGCGAAAUUCCUUGUCGGGUAAGUUCCGACCUGCACGAAUGGCGUAAUGAUGGCCAGGCUGUCUCCACCCGAGACUCAGUGAAAUUGAACUCGCUGUGAAGAUGCAGUGUACCCGCGGCAAGACGGAAAGACCCCGUGAACCUUUACUAUAGCUUGACACUGAACAUUGAGCCUUGAUGUGUAGGAUAGGUGGGAGGCUUUGAAGUGUGGACGCCAGUCUGCAUGGAGCCGACCUUGAAAUACCACCCUUUAAUGUUUGAUGUUCUAAC